UGAUUUAGUAAAAAUGUAAAAUUCUGUAUAUGUUGCUUUACACAAUAACAUACCUUAAUGAAAUUACAGUGUAACAUUUACCAGAUUAGAUCAUCUUUAAAUCUAGAGACUACAUUUACCAGAGGUAUUAUCUCUUUAAAUCUAGAGACUACAUUUACCAGAGGUAUUAUCUCUUUAAAUCUAGAGACUACAUUUACCAGAUGUAUUAUCUCUUUAAAUCUAGAGACUACAUUUACCAGAUGUAUUAUCUCUUUAAAUCUAGAAACUACAUUUACCAGAGGUAUUAUCUCUUUAAAUCUAGAGACUACAUUUACCAGAUGUAUUAUCUCUUUAAAUCUAGAGACUACAUUUAUCAGUAACAUUGCAGAACACCCAUGUCUUUGAUCAUAUGGUGCGCAUCAUAACCCUUAUAUGGAUCCUAGCAUGUGAGGCUGACACACAACACCAGGCUUUGUACUGGCCCUGUUUCUGCGUCAUGUUCUGAAGAGGUUUUAUCACAUCUGAUCUUAGAACUGGAAAUCUGACAAACAAGCACUAAGAUGGAAUGUGACAUUUAAUUAUACAUAAAAAUAUGCAAUGUCUGGUCAGUUAUAUGCAAAAAUGAUCAUUGCCAUAAAGUUGUGAGAGAUAAGGGAUAUUAUGACUUCCUAUGUCAGCAACAUAAAGGUUGACCUAAGGAAUGAACCUUCUUAUCAUGUUUUAUUGAUAUCUAAUGAAUAUGUCAAGAAACCACAGAAUGUUGCAUUAUUUAUAACCAAG
Molecule: long non-coding RNA, 759 nt
Organism: Oncorhynchus tshawytscha (Chinook salmon)
Lineage: Eukaryota; Metazoa; Chordata; Actinopteri; Salmoniformes; Salmonidae
Source: Ensembl